AAUGAGCCUGCGAGUUGUGGUGUCUGGCAAGGUUAAGCAAACGCGAAGCCGUAGCGAAAGCGAGUCUGAAUAGGGCGCUUAGUCAGAUGCUGCAGACCCGAAACGAAGUGAUCUAUCCAUGAGCAAGUUGAAGCUAGUGUAAGAACUAGUGGAGGACUGAACCCAUAGGCGUUGAAAAGCCCCGGGAUGACUUGUGGAUAGGGGUGAAAGGCCAAUCAAACUUCGUGAUAGCUGGUUCUCUCCGAAAUAUAUUUAGGUAUAGCGUUGUGUCGUAAUAUAAGGGGGUAGAGCACUGAAUGGGCUAGGGCAUACACCAAUGUACCAAACCCUAUCAAACUCCGAAUACCUUAUAUGUAAUCACAGCAGUCAGGCGGCGAGUGAUAAAAUCCGUCGUCAAGAGGGAAACAACCCAGACUACCAGCUAAGGUCCCUAAGUCUUACUUAAGUGGAAAACGAUGUGAAGUUACUUAAACAACCAGGAGGUUGGCUUAGAAGCAGCCAUCCUUUAAAGAAAGCGUAAUAGCUCACUGGUCUAGUGAUUUUGCGCGGAAAAUAUAACGGGGCUAAAGUAAGUACCGAAGCUGUAGACUUGCGCACAACUUAGAUUAUUUAAGUUUAGAAUAUGAGAAACUAAGUUAUAUUUUUACUGAUUUUUAUAGAGUAAAGAUAGAAAUAAAACUUAGUAAAAUCAGUAAAAAUAUUCUUAGGCUAAAGUUAAGUAGUUUAAGUUGUGUGCAAGUGGUAGGAGAGCGUUCUAUUUGCGUCGAAGGUAUACCGGUAAGGAGUGCUGGAGCGAAUAGAAGUGAGCAUGCAGGCAUGAGUAGCGAUAAUUAAUGUGAGAAUCAUUAACGCCGUAAACCCAAGGUUUCCUACGCGAUGCUCGUCAUCGUAGGGUUAGUCGGGUCCUAAGUCGAGUCCGAAAGGGGUAGACGAUGGCAAAUUGGUUAAUAUUCCAAUACCAACAUUAGUGUGCGAUGGAAGGACGCUUAGGGCUAAGGGGGCUAGCGGAUGGAAGUGCUAGUCUAAGGUCGUAGGAGGUUAUACAGGCAAAUCCGUAUAACAAUACUCCGAGAACUGAAAGGCUUUUUGAAGUCUUCGGAUGGAUAGAAGAACCCCUGAUGCCGUCGAGCCAAGAAAAGUUUCUAAGUUUAGCUAAUGUUGCCCGUACCGUAAACCGACACAGGUGGGUGGGAUGAGUAUUCUAAGGCGCGUGGAAGAACUCUCUUUAAGGAACUCUGCAAAAUAGCACCGUAUCUUCGGUAUAAGGUGUGGUUAGCUUUGUAUUAGGAUUUACUCCGAAAGCAAGGAAACUUACAACAAAGAGUCCCUCCCGACUGUUUACCAAAAACACAGCACUCUGCUAACUCGUAAGAGGAUGUAUAGGGUGUGACGCCUGCCCGGUGCUCGAAGGUUAAUUGAUGGGGUUAGCAUUAGCGAAGCUCUUGAUCGAAGCCCGAGUAAACGGCGGCCGUAACUAUAACGGUCCUAAGGUAGCGAAAUUCCUUGUCGGUUAAAUACCGACCUGCAUGAAUGGCGUAACGAGAUGGGAGCUGUCUCAAAGAGGGAUCCAGUGAAAUUGUAGUGGAGGUGAAAAUUCCUCCUACCCGCGGCAAGACGGAAAGACCCCGUGGACCUUUACUACAGCUUGACACUGCUACUUGGAUAAGAAUGUGCAGGAUAGGUGGGAGGCUUUGAGUAUAUGACGCCAGUUGUAUAUGAGCCAUUGUUGAGAUACCACUCUUUCUUAUUUGGGUAGCUAACCAGCUUGAGUUAUCCUCAAGUGGGACAAUGUCUGGUGGGUAGUUUGACUGGGGCGGUCGCCUCCCAAAUAAUAACGGAGGCUUACAAAGGUUGGCUCAGAACGGUUGGAAAUCGUUCGUAGAGUAUAAAGGUAUAAGCCAGCUUAACUGCAAGACAUACAAGUCAAGCAGAGACGAAAGUCGGUCUUAGUGAUCCGGUGGUUCUGUGUGGAAGGGCCAUCGCUCAAAGGAUAAAAGGUACCCCGGGGAUAACAGGCUGAUCUCCCCCAAGAGCUCACAUCGACGGGGAGGUUUGGCACCUCGAUGUCGGCUCAUCGCAUCCUGGGGCUGGAGCAGGUCCCAAGGGUAUGGCUGUUCGCCAUUUAAAGCGGUACGCGAGCUGGGUUCAGAACGUCGUGAGACAGUUCGGUCCCUAUCUGCCGUGGGCGUAAGAAGAUUGAAGAGAUUUGACCCUAGUACGAGAGGACCGGGUUGAACAAACCACUGGUGUAGCUGUUGUUCUGCCAAGAGCAUCGCAGCGUAGCUAAGUUUGGAAAGGAUAAACGCUGAAAGCAUCUAAGCGUGAAGCCAACUCUAAGAUGAAUCUUCUCUAAGCUCUCUAGAAGACUACUAGUUUGAUAGGCUGGGUGUGUAAUGGAUGAAAGUCCUUUAGCUGACCAGUACUAAUAGAGCGUUUGGCUUAUCUUUAAUAAAGCAU
This 2457-nucleotide ribosomal RNA is filed under the name Campylobacter jejuni. RNAcentral's name for it is "partial 23S ribosomal RNA". It matches the Rfam family "Bacterial large subunit ribosomal RNA", at positions 614 to 2925 of the family's 2925-position model. Lineage: Bacteria; Pseudomonadati; Campylobacterota; Epsilonproteobacteria; Campylobacterales; Campylobacteraceae. The record is from RNAcentral.